UCUCAAGACCCAGUCACCUACCUGUGCC
RNAcentral lists this non-coding RNA (28 nucleotides) under Rattus norvegicus (Norway rat). Lineage: Eukaryota; Metazoa; Chordata; Mammalia; Rodentia; Muridae. The record is from RNAcentral.